This 346-nucleotide ribosomal RNA is filed under the name uncultured bacterium. RNAcentral's name for it is "bacterial SSU rRNA". It matches the Rfam family "Bacterial small subunit ribosomal RNA", at positions 1 to 334 of the family's 1533-position model. The record is from RNAcentral.
CUAGCGACUUCAGAGUUUGAUCCUGGCUCAGGAUGAACGCUAGCUACAGGCUUAACACAUGCAAGUCGAGGGGCAGCACGGAGAUAGCUUGCUAUCUUGGGUGGCGACCGGCGCACGGGUGAGUAACGCGUAUCCAACCUGCCCAUUACUCAGGGAUAGCCUUGCGAAAGUAAGAUUAAUACCUGAUGUUGUUAAAAACCCGCAUGAGUUUUUAACCAAAGAUCUAUUGGUAAUGGAUGGGGAUGCGUGACAUUAGGUAGUUGGUGAGGUAACGGCUCACCAAGCCCACGAUGUCUAGGGGUUCUGAGAGGAAGGUCCCCCACACUGGAACUGAGACACGGUCCAG